GCCCCAGUGGCCUAAUGGAUAAGGCACUGGCCUCCUAAGCCAGGGAUUGUGGGUUCGAAUCCCACCUGGGGUG
RNAcentral lists this transfer RNA (73 nucleotides) under Sus scrofa (pig). RNAcentral describes it as "tRNA-Arg (CCT) (tRNA-Arg-CCT-5-1)". It matches the Rfam family "tRNA". From Rfam's summary of the family: Transfer RNA (tRNA) molecules are approximately 80 nucleotides in length. Their secondary structure includes four short double-helical elements and three loops (D, anti-codon, and T loops). Further hydrogen bonds mediate the characteristic L-shaped molecular structure. tRNAs have two regions of fundamental functional importance: the anti-codon, which is responsible for specific mRNA codon recognition, and the 3' end, to which the tRNAs corresponding amino acid is attached (by aminoacyl-tRNA synthetases). tRNAs cope with the degeneracy of the genetic code in two manners: having more than one tRNA (with a specific anti-codon) for a particular amino acid; and 'wobble' base-pairing, i.e. permitting non-standard base-pairing at the 3rd anti-codon position. The record is from Rfam by way of RNAcentral. Lineage: Eukaryota; Metazoa; Chordata; Mammalia; Artiodactyla; Suidae. RNAcentral also lists the same sequence under 1 other name.